AGUAGACCAACAGGGAUUGCCUUAGUAACGGCGAGUGAAGCGGCAACAGCUCAAAUUUGAAAUCUGGCCCUCGGGUCCGAAUUGUAAUUUGUAGAGGAUGAUUUUGGUGCGGUAUCUUCCGAGUUCCUUGGAACAGGACGCCUUAGAGGGUGAGAGCCCCGUACGGUUGAAUGCCUAGCCUCUGUAAAUCUCCUUCGACGAGUCGAGUAGUUUGGGAAUGCUGCUCUAAAUGGGAGGUAAAUUUCUUCUAAAGCUAAAUAUUGGCCAGAGACCGAUAGCGCACAAGUAGAGUGAUCGAAAGAUGAAAAGCACUUUGAAAAGAGGGUUAAAUAGCACGUGAAAUUGUUGAAAGGGAAGGAUUUGUGACCAGACUUUUUCUGGGCGGAUCAUCCGGGGUUCUCUCCGGUGCACUUUGCCCAGUAAAGGCCAGCAUCGAUUUUCGGCGGCGGAUAAAAGCAGUGGGAAUGUGGCUCCCUACGGGGAGUGUUAUAGCCCAUUGUAUAAUACGCUGCUGGGGAUCGAGGUACGCGCUUCUGCAAGGAUGCUGGCGUAAUGGUUAUCAAUCACCCGUCUUGAAACACGGACCAAGGAGUCGAACAUUUAUGCG
This 607-nucleotide ribosomal RNA is filed under the name Pestalotia lespedezae. Its description in RNAcentral is "Pestalotiopsis lespedezae partial large subunit ribosomal RNA". It matches the Rfam family "Eukaryotic large subunit ribosomal RNA", at positions 56 to 688 of the family's 3401-position model. The record is from RNAcentral. Lineage: Eukaryota; Fungi; Ascomycota; Sordariomycetes; Amphisphaeriales; Amphisphaeriaceae.